UUUCCUUUCUGCCGGCUGGAUGGAGACUUCAGAGAAAAAUACAUGAAAGGCCCAGAAUGGACUUCCAGAAGCAGCAUCCACACAGAGAACCAGUUGUUCACAUAUUUGAAUCCCACCACUGGUGUAAAGACUGCAAUAGCCACUACGUAGGAUAAACAGGCAGAAGACAAGCAGAAUGCAUCCAAGUACAGCAAUGAGCAGACAGAAGAUAUGAUAAAAACAUUUUAAUUUCACAUCAUAUAGACAGACUUAACCAUAGUUUUAACUGGGUAACUGUGACCAUCCUAGACUAAACCAAGAGAAUUUCUGGAAGCUUGGUAUUCUAAGAAAUUGGCCAUCAAUAGCCACAUAGACAUCUACAUAUUGUGCAAAAGAGAUAAACAAGAAGCCAAAAAGGAACAAAAAGAUCAAAACACUUCCCCACCAGCAAUAAACACCCAGAUGAAUGUAGAUUAACACCAAGAUUAACAUCAGACCAACAAUCAAGAUGUAAGUGAUACCCCAAUCAAAGAAAUUCCAAACAAGCUAACAGUAAACAGCUCAAAUAAAGAAGCUCCAGGACCAUUCCCACCAAUACUGAAUGGGCAACUCACUAGCAUAUAAAUUGAGAUCAAUCCCCGUUCUUUAGCACUGUUGAAGUUAUCUAAUUUGGGUAAUUAAAUGUCUGCAAGAAGACAACAAAACUAAGAGACCACCAAGCAUCCUUCAUGGAUAAAGGCUUUUAGUAAUUGAUGGCAAAAACAAAUCAAGCAAACAAGCAAAUAAAUAAAUAAAUAUACAAACUAAUUAUAUUUAGUUAUUUGUUAUAUAUUAUAUAAUAUAUACAAUAUUGUUGACCAUAUAUUAUUAUUUUCAUUAUUUUUUUUUAUUUUAUAUUGUAUUUUUAUGCUGCCUGGAGCCUUUUGUUGAAAUAGGUGGCUACAGGAAUCAAGUUAAUAAGCAAAUGAAUAAACUAAUUAUAUGUUAUUGUAUGGAGUGAUGCAAUAUAUUUUGAGCACUGCAUAGUAUAUACAAUAUAUAUUAUAUAAUAUACACACACACUAUAUGUCUCUCUGUGUGUAGUAUGUAUUGCAUACAUAUACAGUACUCAAAUUAUACUGCAACACAUGCUACAAGUUUGAAUUAAUUUGAUGAUCUCUCUAUGUCUAAUAUCCAAUGAGCUUACCAUCAUUAUAGGAUAGCACAGGGAACACUCUGCAUUACUCUAUUGUUUUACUGAAUGUAAUGUUAAUGUUAGGUUAAGCAAAGGAGAAAUCAGUAGAUUAGGAGCAACAAGGAUAUUUACUCGGAGUAUUGUGGACUUUAAAAAAGUUAAGCUUUGAAGAAGGAUGGCCUGGUCAUUUGGUCUCAGAAUUGUCUACAGCUUCAAUCACUGAAGGCUUGCAGUGAACUAAGCUGCCUGAAAGAGGUUGGGGAUAGGUUAGCAGUACAAUUAGCUGCCAUUGUUUGAUAAUUAUAUCCCUUGUAAUUGGAAUCUUGUGGAUGUUUAAUUGCAUUAUAUGGCAGACUUAAGCUGCAUUGCAUGGUUUCUUGGGGGAAAGUUCAUUCAUUGUUUGUGCAUUUAUACUUCUUGAAUUUGUUCAUUUCUGUUUAUGUCUUUUUUAUUGAGUCCAUGCUUUGUUUAACCUUACUAAACUUUAUACUGAUCAGA
Long non-coding RNA from Crotalus tigris (Tiger rattlesnake), 1651 nucleotides. RefSeq lists it as uncharacterized. NCBI's taxonomy places the organism in Eukaryota, Metazoa, Chordata, Lepidosauria, Squamata, Viperidae. The transcript is spliced from 2 exons. The record is from RefSeq and is a predicted model, not a curated record.